RNAcentral lists this ribosomal RNA (253 nucleotides) under uncultured bacterium. RNAcentral's name for it is "partial 16S ribosomal RNA". It matches the Rfam family "Bacterial small subunit ribosomal RNA", at positions 524 to 776 of the family's 1533-position model. The record is from RNAcentral.
UACGUAGGGUGCGAGCGUUAAUCGGAAUUAUUGGGCGUAAAGCGUGCGCAGGCGGUUUUAUAAGACAGAUGUGAAAUCCCCGGGCUUAACCUGGGAACUGCGUUUGUGACUGUAAGACUGGAGUGUGGCAGAGGGGGGUGGAAUUCCACGUGUAGCAGUGAAAUGCGUAGAUAUGUGGAGGAACAUCGAUGGCGAAGGCAGCCCCCUGGGUUAACACUGACGCUCAUGCACGAAAGCGUGGGGAGCAAACAGG